GAUGAACGCUGGCGGCGUGCCUAAUACAUGCAAGUCGAGCGAACAGACGAGGAGCUUGCUCCUCUGACGUUAGCGGCGGACGGGUGAGUAACACGUGGAUAACCUACCUAUAAGACUGGGAUAACUUCGGGAAACCGGAGCUAAUACCGGAUAAUAUAUUGAACCGCAUGGUUCAAUAGUGAAAGACGGUUUUGCUGUCACUUAUAGAUCGAUCCGCGCCGCAUUAGCUAGUUGGUAAGGUAACGGCUUACCAAGGCAACGAUGCGUAGCCGACCUGAGAGGGUGAUCGGCCACACUGGAACUGAGACACGGUCCAGACUCCUACGGGGGGCAGCAGUAGGGAAUCUUCCGCAAUGGGCGAAAGCCUGACGGAGCAACGCCGCGUGAGUGAUGAAGGUCUUCGGAUCGUAAAACUCUGUUAUUAGGGAAGAACAAAUGUGUAAGUAACUAUGCACGUCUUGACGGUACCUAAUCAGAAAGCCACGGCUAACUACGUG
RNAcentral lists this ribosomal RNA (497 nucleotides) under uncultured bacterium. RNAcentral describes it as "partial 16S ribosomal RNA". It matches the Rfam family "Bacterial small subunit ribosomal RNA", at positions 28 to 507 of the family's 1533-position model. The record is from RNAcentral.